GAUUACUUGAUGAAUCUGUCCUCUUCUCUGUCAUCACUGAAACUCAUUUACUGUGGAUUGCAGGGUAAACUCCCAUCCUCAAUGGGGAAAUUUAAGCACCUGCAGUACUUGGAUCUUGUAGGGAACAAUAUUACUGGUCCAAUUCCAUAUGAUUUUGAUCAACUCACUGAGUUGGUUUCACUUGAUCUCUCUUCCAAUGACUAUCUGAGUCUAGAACCAAUUUCUUUUGACAAGCUUGUUCGAAACCUAACCAAGCUUAGAGAACUCGAUUUGAGUUGGGUAGACAUGUCACUAGUUGUUCCCGAUUCCUUGAUGAAUCUGCCUUCUUCUUUGUCAUCGCUCAUACUCAAUUCCUGUGGAUUGCAAGGAAUCUAUCCACUUGAAAACCUUGUACAGCUCACCGAUUUAGACCUCUCAAGUAACAAUUUGAGCGGUCAGAUCCCAUCAUCACUUGGAAACCUUGUACAGCUCACCGAUUUAGAUCUCUCAAGUAACAAUUUGAGCAGUCAGAUCCCAUCAUCACUUGGUAAUCUCACACAUCUCACCUCUUUAGACCUCUCAUCUAACAAUUUGAGCAGUCAGAUCCCAUCAUCACUUGGUAAUCUCACACAUCUCACCUCUUUAGACCUCUCAUCUAACAAUUUGAGCGGUCAGAUCCCAUCAUCACUUGGUAAUCUCACACAUCUCACCUCUUUAGACCUCUCAUCUAACAAUUUGAACUGUGAGAUCCCAUCAUCACUUGGAAACCUUGUACAGCUCACCCAUUUAGACCUCUCAAGUAACAGUUUUAGUAGUCAAAUCCCAUCAUCACUUGGUAAUCUCACACAGCUCAUCUCUUUAAACCUCUCAAAUCUCUAUUCCAAUAAAUUUAGGGGUCAAGUUCCAAAUUUUUUGGGUAGCCUAGUCAAUCUUUCAUAUUUAUAUUUAUCCAAUAAUCAACUAGUAGGCACAAUACCAUCCUUUUUGUUUCUUCUUCCUUCUUUAGGUUAUCUUGAUCUCCAUAACAAUAAUCUCAUAGGUAAUAUAAGUGAACUCCAACACGAUUCAUUGAGAUUCCUUGAUUUGAGCAAUAACCACUUGCAUGGUCCAAUCCCAAGUUCGAUUUUCAAACAAGAGAACUUGACAACCCUUAUUCUUGCGUCCAAUAGUAAAUUGACAGGUGAGAUUUCUUCUUCUAUUUGCAAGCUGAGAUUCCUUCGGGUCCUGGACUUGUCCAACAACAGCUUGAGUG
RNAcentral lists this long non-coding RNA (1231 nucleotides) under Populus tremula. Its description in RNAcentral is "long non-coding RNA (PTRE_LNC003456)". The record is from RNAcentral. Lineage: Eukaryota; Viridiplantae; Streptophyta; Magnoliopsida; Malpighiales; Salicaceae.